RNAcentral lists this long non-coding RNA (254 nucleotides) under Nicotiana benthamiana. Its description in RNAcentral is "long non-coding RNA (NBEN_LNC005605)". Lineage: Eukaryota; Viridiplantae; Streptophyta; Magnoliopsida; Solanales; Solanaceae. The record is from RNAcentral.
GAAAUUCUGCCUAGUUUUAAGCUGGAUUUAGAGUUUCGGCAGCAGCUGGUUUUUGUUAAAAAGUGAUUGUUGUUUCGCUGGGAUUUUGGCCAAGUUUUGGCUGGUAUUUGGGCAGUGAUGUUUUGAUGGUGUUUUGGGAUGUUUUGAAGCUGAUUUCGGAUGGGUUUUCAGCUGGCUUUUGGUUAAAGAGAAACCAUAGAAGUUGCCCCUCUUCCCUGAAGAAGAAGAUCGAAGCCGUCUUUUGUGUUCUAGCC